GUUCAGCAGGCUACGUGGGUGGGAAGGAGCCAUUGUGGAGAAGAAGCAUUUAAAGGGACAGGAGAGGGAGGCAACAUAAGAGAAAAAAGUACCUCCCAAGGUGAGAGGGGAAUGAGGCCAAGAGCACAAGUGGAGAGGUCAACCCUGGACAGGAAGGAAUAUUGAAACAGGAGAAAAGAGAGCAGAAGUGAAGGACCCAGCUGCAGGAACACCCUUCCCUUCUUGCUCACCUAAACUUACUCCUCCUGCAAAACUGGGGUCACCCAUUGCCAUCACUGUAGCCGUUCCUGACUUCUCAAAUCCAAGACAGGUCUGGUCUCUAUCUUCCAUGCGCUGCAGUCUUGGGAUCCAACAGGGAACAAGCACUAACCAUGUGCAUGUGCAUAAAACAUGGAGCACUCGGCAACCACCAAACACCCUCGGUGUUACCAGAAUAUAAGCUUCCUUUAAAACGACACUGCUGCAGUAACUAGUCUUACACUGCCAUGGGACCAGAUGACAUGCCGGAAAUAUCUAAGCUUUUCUGCCUCCGCCACUGCCUGGAUUUGGAGAAGAAGGAAAGACAGAAAGGAAAAGAUAAUGGGGGUGAGAAUCUUGCCAGGAAAGAUGCCAUAGAAAGUAUAUCCCCUUGGCUGAGAUUUGCAAGAUGAAUGGAUGUUCUCCUGGAAUUCUGGAAGAAGGAGGCUUCUGAGCAAAGAUUCAGAGAACUUGCUGGUGAAACAGUGAUUACAGAAAUGCUCCAAGUCCAGUCAACAAGAGAAAGAGAAGGGUUCCUGCUGUGGCAACGGAACUGGCAUUGAGAUGCAGGUUUGAUCCCCUGUCCAGCACAGGAGGUUAAGAAUUGGGUUUUGCUGCCUCUAUGAUGUGGGUUGCAAAUGCAGUUCAGAUCUAAUUCCUGGUCUGAGAACUUCUGUAUGUAGCAGGGUGGCCAAAAAA
Long non-coding RNA from Sus scrofa (pig), 936 nucleotides. RefSeq lists it as uncharacterized. NCBI's taxonomy places the organism in Eukaryota, Metazoa, Chordata, Mammalia, Artiodactyla, Suidae. The record is from RefSeq and is a predicted model, not a curated record.